RNAcentral lists this ribosomal RNA (253 nucleotides) under uncultured prokaryote. RNAcentral's name for it is "partial 16S ribosomal RNA". It matches the Rfam family "Bacterial small subunit ribosomal RNA", at positions 524 to 776 of the family's 1533-position model. The record is from RNAcentral.
UACAGAGGGUGCAAGCGUUAUUCGGAAUCACUGGGCGUAAAGAGUUCGUAGGCGGUUUGUUAAGUCGAAUGUGAAAGCCCUGGGCUCAAUCCAGGAAGUGCAUUCGAUACUGGCAAGCUAGAGUGCAGGAGAGGAGAGCGGAAUUCCAGGUGUAGAGGUGAAAUUCGUAGAUAUCUGGAGGAACAACAGAGGCGAAGGCGGCUCUCUGGACUGUCACUGACGCUGAGGAACGAAAGCGUGGGGAGCAAACAGG